CAAGUCGAGCGAACUUUUGGGAGCUUGCUCCCAAAAGUUAGCGGCGGACGGGUGAGUAACACGUGGGCAACCUGCCUAUAAGACUGGGAUAACUUCGGGAAACCGGAGCUAAUACCGGAUAAUUCUUUUCUACACAUGUAGAAAAGCUAAAAGACGGUUUACGCUGUCACUUAUAGAUGGGCCCGCGGCGCAUUAGCUAGUUGGUGAGGUAACGGCUCACCAAGGCCACGAUGCGUAGCCGACCUGAGAGGGUGAUCGGCCACACUGGGACUGAGACACGGCCCAGACUCCUACGGGAGGCAGCAGUAGGGAAUCUUCCGCAAUGGACGAAAGUCUGACGGAGCAACGCCGCGUGAGUGAUGAAGGUUUUCGGAUCGUAAAACUCUGUUGUUAGGGAAGAACAAGUACGAGAGUAACUGCUCGUACCUUGACGGUACCUAACCAGAAAGCCACGGCUAACUACGUGCCANCAGCCGCGGUAAUACNUAGGUGGCAAGCGUUGUCCGGAAUUAUUGGGCGUAAAGCGCGCGCAGGCGGUCCUUUAA
This 545-nucleotide ribosomal RNA is filed under the name uncultured Bacillus sp. RNAcentral describes it as "bacterial SSU rRNA". It matches the Rfam family "Bacterial small subunit ribosomal RNA", at positions 58 to 586 of the family's 1533-position model. The record is from RNAcentral. Lineage: Bacteria; Bacillati; Bacillota; Bacilli; Caryophanales; Bacillaceae.